UGGCAGGUGCCAGAUCUCCAGGGCCCUGGGAGCCCUGGAGUGGGGUUCACAUUUUAUUCUCCGUGCCAGAGAAAGCCAUCGGGGGACUGUUAAGCAAUGCAUAUCCUGAUUUUGAAGCUCCAGGAAGACAGUCUAUGUCCCGAUUACUGUAGCAAUGAAUACUUCUUGAUGAGGUGAUGAAGUAGUGACUCUGCCUGCUGCAGAAGGCUUUCCUCUGCUAAACGCCUCCCAGCAUGUCUGCUAGAAAUCUUCAGCCAUCGGGAACAUCACCUCCUCACCCUUCCACAACUUUCCACCACUCCACGCAGACCUUAUCUUCACAGGAAGAAGGUACUGAGGGAGACGAGGAGAGUUCAAUGGAAGAAUUUCUAUUUCUUCAAGAGGAAGAGAGCCCAGAGGAAGACCAGUACCUAGAGGAGGAGGAAAAUUAUCUGAAAGGAAAGGAGUAUCUGUAUGAAAAGGAGUAUCUGAAGGAGGAAAAGUAUCUACAGAAGAAAGAGCUGCUGGAAGGAAAAAUGUUUCUGUGUGAAAAGUUUCUGGAAGAGGGUGAGUAUGUGGGGAGAACGUCCCAUAGAUGGUGGUUCUAGUUCAUCACGAUGUCCGGGAAAAAAGAACAGGCUUGAGAUACAGCCAAAGCGCAAAUGAUCGACCCUACACACUGCGCUGGCAGACUCAUGAAUCAUUUCUGACCAAGUUCGACUCACAACUUCAAGAGCUGUGCCCCCAAGCACUGAGCCUACGGAGCAGACGAGGAGACCUGAUGAACGGGAGCGCCUGUUCGUAAAAAACAAAAUAAGACAAACA
Molecule: long non-coding RNA, 804 nt
Organism: Physeter macrocephalus (sperm whale)
Lineage: Eukaryota; Metazoa; Chordata; Mammalia; Artiodactyla; Physeteridae
Exons: 3
Source: RefSeq, a predicted model, not a curated record